This 553-nucleotide ribosomal RNA is filed under the name Bifidobacterium adolescentis. RNAcentral describes it as "partial 16S ribosomal RNA". It matches the Rfam family "Bacterial small subunit ribosomal RNA", at positions 146 to 709 of the family's 1533-position model. Lineage: Bacteria; Bacillati; Actinomycetota; Actinomycetes; Bifidobacteriales; Bifidobacteriaceae. The record is from RNAcentral.
UCUCCUGGAAAACGGGUGGUAAUGCCGGAUGCUCCAGUUGACCGCAUGGUCCUCUGGGAAAGCUUUUGCGGUAUGGGAUGGGGUCGCGUCCUAUCAGCUUGAUGGCGGGGUAACGGCCCACCAUGGCUUCGACGGGUAGCCGGCCUGAGAGGGCGACCGGCCACAUUGGGACUGAGAUACGGCCCAGACUCCUACGGGAGGCAGCAGUGGGGAAUAUUGCACAAUGGGCGCAAGCCUGAUGCAGCGACGCCGCGUGCGGGAUGACGGCCUUCGGGUUGUAAACCGCUUUUGACUGGGAGCAAGCCCUUCGGGGUGAGUGUACCUUUCGAAUAAGCACCGGCUAACUACGUGCCAGCAGCCGCGGUAAUACGUAGGGUGCAAGCGUUAUCCGGAAUUAUUGGGCGUAAAGGGCUCGUAGGCGGUUCGUCGCGUCCGGUGUGAAAGUCCAUCGCUUAACGGUGGAUCCGCGCCGGGUACGGGCGGGCUUGAGUGCGGUAGGGGAGACUGGAAUUCCCGGUGUAACGGUGGAAUGUGUAGAUAUCGGAAAGAACAC